This 537-nucleotide ribosomal RNA is filed under the name Triticum aestivum (bread wheat). RNAcentral's name for it is "partial small subunit ribosomal RNA". The record is from RNAcentral. Lineage: Eukaryota; Viridiplantae; Streptophyta; Magnoliopsida; Poales; Poaceae.
AUGAACUCGGUGGCGGCGAGCGCGACGAGGCCGAGCAUAGCGAAGCGGCCGUUCCAGAGCUCUGCGUCGGCGCUCCAGAUUCCGCUCGACUUGCUCUCGACAGUCUGGCCCUGCAGUAGCGGCACCAACGAUGCCGCGGAGAACACCCCCGCGAUGCGCUCCGGCGCCGGGCCGCUGAAGGCGAGCGUGUCCCAGACCGAGGGGUUCGCCUUCUUGGUCAUGGGCUUGGGUGCCGCCGGGAUCGGGGUCGGGCUCGUGCUCGGGGAGGAGGAGGUCGAUGCGCUCGUCGUCUCCUUGGUUGAGUCCAUGCCAGGCUGCACAUACACAAACAAUCUCACGUUGAGGUCGAGUCUCCAACUAGCCAACAUGCGAUGCAGUCAAGUGUGUGACGUGAAAGCUCACCUCAGACUGGGCCCUGACGACGAGGGUCCUCCGGCGCGGGCCCGCCACUGGAGAGCGGGCGGCGGACCGGCCGACGACGGCGAAGGAACUCAAAGCCACCAUGGUCGCCAUUACUCAAGGCACGAAGAGAACUGA